Molecule: unclassified non-coding RNA, 362 nt
Filed under: Hevea brasiliensis (rubber tree)
Lineage: Eukaryota; Viridiplantae; Streptophyta; Magnoliopsida; Malpighiales; Euphorbiaceae
Source: RNAcentral
UGGCGACUCCUCACUCUUUCCCACUUCGGUGAGGGUUCGUUCAGGCGACCGCAAAACACCUUGCAACACUUCCUGAAACUUGCUUAAUUUAGCAUCUAAUUGUAUCCUUCCAAAUCAUUGUAAUUAGUUUAAAAUCAUUCAUUUGACAUUCUCAUUGAUGUUUACUUAGCUAUGGUCAUGUUAAUUACAAUAUUUUACCUGUUUACUGUUUCUUAUUCUAGGCAAAUUAUAAACAAACCUGGGUCUAACCUGGCUUAGGAUUUUCACCUCUUGGCCCAUUCUCUGGUUGACCUGCCCAAAAUCUUGGGCCUAGUUCAUUGACUAGGCUUAGCCCAAUUUCAAAAAAAAUAUUAAAAUUAUAU